GGCAGCACAGUGGAUAGCGCUGUUACCUUCGAAUACAGAAGUUCCAGGUUCGAGUCCUGGCUGGUCG
This is a non-coding RNA of Gymnothorax javanicus (giant moray), 67 nucleotides long. The record is from the annotation of a GenBank genome assembly. NCBI's taxonomy places the organism in Eukaryota, Metazoa, Chordata, Actinopteri, Anguilliformes, Muraenidae.